Molecule: transfer RNA, 93 nt
Filed under: Fusarium acuminatum
Lineage: Eukaryota; Fungi; Ascomycota; Sordariomycetes; Hypocreales; Nectriaceae
Also listed under: 1 other name
Description: tRNA-Trp
Rfam family: tRNA
About the family: Transfer RNA (tRNA) molecules are approximately 80 nucleotides in length. Their secondary structure includes four short double-helical elements and three loops (D, anti-codon, and T loops). Further hydrogen bonds mediate the characteristic L-shaped molecular structure. tRNAs have two regions of fundamental functional importance: the anti-codon, which is responsible for specific mRNA codon recognition, and the 3' end, to which the tRNAs corresponding amino acid is attached (by aminoacyl-tRNA synthetases). tRNAs cope with the degeneracy of the genetic code in two manners: having more than one tRNA (with a specific anti-codon) for a particular amino acid; and 'wobble' base-pairing, i.e. permitting non-standard base-pairing at the 3rd anti-codon position.
Source: RNAcentral
GGGGCGCUGGCGCAAUUGGUAGCGCGUCAGAUUCCAGCAAAAACCAAAUUGCCAAAAACCUGAAGGUUAUCCGUUCGAGUCGGGUGUGCCUCA